RNAcentral lists this ribosomal RNA (318 nucleotides) under uncultured bacterium. Its description in RNAcentral is "bacterial SSU rRNA". It matches the Rfam family "Bacterial small subunit ribosomal RNA", at positions 476 to 794 of the family's 1533-position model. The record is from RNAcentral.
UAUGGUGAGAAUAAGCAUCGGCUAACUUCGUGCCAGCAGCCGCGGUAAGACGAAGGAUGCAAGCGUUAUCCGGAUUCAUUGGGUUUAAGGGAGCGUAGGUGGACUGAUAAGUCAGUGGUGAAAUCUUCGAGCUUAACUCGGAAAUUGCCAUUGAUACUGUUGGUCUUGAGUACAGUUGCUGUGGGCGGAAUAUGACAUGUAGUGGUGAAAUACAUAGAGAUGUCAUAGAACACCGAUUGCGAAGGCAGCUCACAAAGCUGUAACUGACACUGAGGCUCGAAAGUGUGGGGAUCAAACAGGAUUAGAUACCCUGGUAGU